This 379-nucleotide unclassified non-coding RNA is filed under the name Nostoc sp. EGY. Its description in RNAcentral is "partial 16S-23S ribosomal RNA intergenic spacer". The stretch from base 1 to 121 matches the Rfam family "Bacterial small subunit ribosomal RNA", at positions 1413 to 1533 of the family's 1533-position model. The record is from RNAcentral. Lineage: Bacteria; Bacillati; Cyanobacteriota; Cyanophyceae; Nostocales; Nostocaceae.
GGCAACGCCCGAAGUCAUUACCCCAACUUUCGAGAGGGGGAUGCCUAAGGCAGUGCUGGUGACUGGGGUGAAGUCGUAACAAGGUAGCCGUACCGGAAGGUGUGGCUGGAUCACCUCCUUUUAGGGAGACCUACCCAACUUGAGACUCGAAAGCAAAAAGCGAAUAGAGAACAAGAUGGUCAACCUAGGUCGGUCGAGAUUGGUAAAAGCUUUCAAAGUAUUUGAUGGUUCAGUUUAAAAUUCAACCAAAGAAUAAAAAGGAAGAACAGCACCUAACGGAUAGAAGAAGUUAGAAUGCUGGGAUAAAUCCUAGCCAGAACCUUGAAAACUGCAUAGAAACGCGAAAAAAGCAGGCAGUCAAAAAGUCAAAAGUGGAAAG